UUUAUUUACUUUAAAAUAUAAUUUUUUUUCAUAGCAUGAUGAUGGAAUAAAUUUGAGUGAACCAGGUUUUGAAUUUAAUGAAUCAGAUGAUGAGCUUUUGGGAGAUCUCACGCAAGAAUUUCUGGAAGACGAAGAUAAUUUAAUUGGGGAAAUCUCGCAAGGUUUUGUAGAGGCGACUCAGGUGUUUCGAAAUCUCCCUCUUUAUUAUCAAGUGGGUUCGGGAUUUGAGAAUCAGCCAGGACCUUCUAGUGGAGGAUCAGUGUUUGUGGAAGGAAAUGAAAUGAAAAGAAG
Non-coding RNA from Parasteatoda tepidariorum (common house spider), 291 nucleotides. Lineage: Eukaryota; Metazoa; Arthropoda; Arachnida; Araneae; Theridiidae. The record is from RefSeq and is a predicted model, not a curated record.